RNAcentral lists this ribosomal RNA (253 nucleotides) under uncultured bacterium. Its description in RNAcentral is "partial 16S ribosomal RNA". It matches the Rfam family "Bacterial small subunit ribosomal RNA", at positions 524 to 776 of the family's 1533-position model. The record is from RNAcentral.
UACAGGGGGUGCAAACGUUGCUCGGAAUCACUGGGCGUAAAGGGCGUGUAGGCGGGAAGGAAAGUCAGAUGUGAAAUCCCCAGGCUCAACCUGGGAACUGCAUUUGAAACUCCCUUUCUUGAGUACCGGAGAGGAAAGUGGAAUUCCUGGUGUAGAGGUGAAAUUCGUAGAUAUCAGGAGGAACACCAGUGGCGAAGGCGGCUUUCUGGACGGUAACUGACGCUGAGACGCGAAAGCGUGGGGAGCAAACAGG